This is a long non-coding RNA of Daucus carota subsp. sativus, 292 nucleotides long. RefSeq lists it as uncharacterized. The transcript has 2 exons. NCBI's taxonomy places the organism in Eukaryota, Viridiplantae, Streptophyta, Magnoliopsida, Apiales, Apiaceae. The record is from RefSeq and is a predicted model, not a curated record.
UAUUUAUCUUUGUAACAUUGAAUUGAUAAAGCUAUUUUCUUCAUAGUUGACAGGCUAAACUAUGAUUGUUUCAAGACUGGACCAAGGCACCAUCUUGUGCUCCCCAACUUGCUAGCUAACUUGAGCCCAGUGGUGUGGGGGCCAUCUUUCCCACUUUGAUAUUCAAUUAAUCGCCUUUCGUCGUGUUUGGUUUGUUAUAUUAUGGGAUGAAGCCCGAUUUGUGUAUCUUCCCACUCUAUCAUGUUUCGCAGAUAGAGGAACUAUCCGAAUUAAGCUUGUCUCUAUUAAAUUU